GAUCAUGGCUCAGGACGAACGCUGGCGGCGUGCUUAACACAUGCAAGUCGAACGCUGAAGGCUCAGCUUGCUGGGCUGGAUGAGUGGCGAACGGGUGAGUAACACGUGAGUAACCUGCCCUCUUCUUUGGGAUAACGGUCGGAAACGGCUGCUAAUACCGGGUAUUCACUGUCCUUCGCAUGGGGGGUGGGUGGAAAGGUUUUUCUUGGUGGGGGAGUGGGCGUCGCGGCCUAUCAGCUUGUUGGUGGGGUGA
Molecule: ribosomal RNA, 253 nt
Filed under: uncultured bacterium
Lineage: Bacteria
Description: partial 16S ribosomal RNA
Rfam family: Bacterial small subunit ribosomal RNA
Source: RNAcentral